Molecule: ribosomal RNA, 481 nt
Filed under: uncultured bacterium
Lineage: Bacteria
Description: partial 16S ribosomal RNA
Rfam family: Bacterial small subunit ribosomal RNA
Source: RNAcentral
GAUGAACGCUGGCGGCGUGCUUAACACAUGCAAGUCGAACGAAGCAUUUCGGCCAGUUUCCUUCGGUUUGAGGUUCUUUAUGACUGAGUGGCGGACGGGUGAGUAACGCGUGGGUAACCUGCCUUGUACUGGGGGAUAGCAGCUGCAAACGGCUGCUAAUACCGCAUAAUCGCACAAUGUUGCAUUACAUGGUUUGAAAAACUCCGGGGGUAUAGGAUGGAGCCGCGUCUGAUUAGCUAGUUGGUGGGAUAACAGGGCACCAAGGCGACGAGCAGUAGCCGAGCUGGGAGGGUGACCGGCCACAUUGGGAAUGAGACACGGACCAGACUGCGACGGGAGGCAGCAGUGGGGAAUAUUGUACAAGGGAGGAAACUGUGAUGAAGCGACGCCGGGUGAGUGAAGAAGUAAUUCGUUAUGUAAAGCUCUAUCAGCAGGGAAGAUAGUGACGGUACCUGACUAAGAAGCUCCGGCUAAAUACGUG